Molecule: ribosomal RNA, 1393 nt
Filed under: uncultured bacterium
Lineage: Bacteria
Description: bacterial SSU rRNA
Rfam family: Bacterial small subunit ribosomal RNA
Source: RNAcentral
AGAGUUUGAUCCUGGCUCAGGAUGAACGCUGGCGGCGUGCUUAACACAUGCAAGUCGAACGGGGAUGCUUAUGGAAGGAGUGCUUGCACUUUGGAAAUGAGUAUCUUAGUGGCGGACGGGUGAGUAACGCGUGGGUAACCUGCCCCAUACCGGGGGAUACCACCUGGAAACAGGUGCUAAUACCGCAUAAGCGCUCGGGAGCGCAUGCUCCUGUGUGAAAAACUCCGGUGGUAUGGGAUGGACCCGCGUCUGAUGAGCCAGUUGGCAGGGUAACGGCCUACCAAAGCGACGAUCAGUAGCCGGCCUGAGAGGGUGGACGGCCACAUUGGGACUGAGACACGGCCCAAACUCCUACGGGAGCAGCAGUGGGGAAUAUGCACAAUGGGGGAAACCCUGAUGCAGCGACGCCGCGUGAGUGAAGAAGUAUUUCGGUAUGUAAAGCUCUAUCAGCAGGAACGAGACAAGACGGUACCUGACUAAGAAGCCCCGGCUAACUACGUGCCAGCAGCCGCGGUAAUACGUAGGGGGCAAGCGUUAUCCGGAAUCACUGGGUGUAAAGGGAGCGUAGACGGCUGAGCAAGCCUGAAGUGAAAGGCGGGGGCCCAACCCCCGGACUGCUUUGGGAACUGUACGGCUGGAGUGCAGGAGAGGUAAGUGGAAUUCCUAGUGUAGCGGUGAAAUGCGUAGAUAUUAGGAGGAACACCAGUGGCGAAGGCGGCUUACUGGACUGUAACUGACGUUGAGGCUCGAAAGCGUGGGGAGCAAACAGGACUAGAUACCCUGGUAGUCCACGCCGUAAACGAUGAUUACUAGGUGUCGGGGGGCAGAGGCCCUUCGGUGCCGCAGCAAACGCAAUAAGUAAUCCACCUGGGGAGUACGUCCGCAAGGAUGAAGCUCAAAGGAAUUGACGGGGACCCGCACAAGCGGUGGAGCAUGUGGUUUAAUUCGAAGCAACGCGAAGAACCUUACCCGGCCUUGACAUCCCCCUGACAGCAUAUGUAAUGUAUGUUCCUUUCGGGGCAGGGGAGACAGGUGGUGCAUGGUUGUCGUCAGCUCGUGUCGUGAGAUGUUGGGUUAAGUCCCGCAACGAGCGCAACCCUUACCCACAGUAGCCAGCACAAAAGGUGGGCACUCUGUGGGGACUGCCGGGGACAACCCGGAGGAAGGUGGGGAUGACGUCAAAUCAUCAUGCCCCUUAUGGCCGGGGCUACACACGUGCUACAAUGGCGUAAACAAAGGGAAGCGAGAGAGUGAUCUUAAGCGAAACUCAAAAAUAACGUCCCAGUUCGGAUUGCAGUCUGCAACUCGACUGCAUGAAGCUGGAAUCGCUAGUAAUCGCGGAUCAGAAUGCCGCGGUGAAUACGUUCAGGGGUCUUGCACACACCGCCCGUCA